UAAUACGAAGGAUCCAAGCGUUAUCCGGAUUUAUUGGGUUUAAAGGGUGCGUAGGCGGGCUAUUAAGUCAGUGGUGAAAGCCCCAAGCUUAACUUGGGAAUUGCCAUUGAUACUGAUGGUCUUGAGUACACUUGAAGUGGGCGGAAUGUGUCAUGUAGCGGUGAAAUGCUUAGAUAUGACACAGAACACCGAUUGCGAAGGCAGCUCACUAAAUUGUAACUGACGCUGAGGCACGAAAGCGUGGGGAUCAAACAGGAUUAGAUACCCUGGUAGUCCACGCCCUAAACGAUGAUUACUCGAUGUGUGCAAUACACCGUACGCGUCUGAGCGAAAGCAUUAAGUAAUCCACCUGGGGAGUACGACCGCAAGGUUG
Molecule: ribosomal RNA, 373 nt
Filed under: uncultured bacterium
Lineage: Bacteria
Description: bacterial SSU rRNA
Rfam family: Bacterial small subunit ribosomal RNA
Source: RNAcentral